This 465-nucleotide ribosomal RNA is filed under the name Vreelandella stevensii. Its description in RNAcentral is "partial 16S ribosomal RNA". It matches the Rfam family "Bacterial small subunit ribosomal RNA", at positions 338 to 795 of the family's 1533-position model. The record is from RNAcentral. Lineage: Bacteria; Pseudomonadati; Pseudomonadota; Gammaproteobacteria; Oceanospirillales; Halomonadaceae.
CCUACGGGUGGCUGCAGUGGGGAAUAUUGGACAAUGGGGGGAACCCUGAUCCAGCCAUGCCGCGUGUGUGAAGAAGGCCCUCGGGUUGUAAAGCACUUUCAGUGAGGAAGAACGCCUGGUGGUUAAUACCCAUCAGGAAAGACAUCACCCACAGAAGAAGCACCGGCUAACUCCGUGCCAGCAGCCGCGGUAAUACGGAGGGUGCGAGCGUUAAUCGGAAUUACUGGGCGUAAAGCGCGCGUAGGUGGCUUGAUAAGCCGGUUGUGAAAGCCCCGGGCUCAACCUGGGAACGGCAUCCGGAACUGUCAAGCUAGAGUGCAGGAGAGGAAGGUAGAAUUCCCGGUGUAGCGGUGAAAUGCGUAGAGAUCGGGAGGAAUACCAGUGGCGAAGGCGGCCUUCUGGACUGACACUGACACUGAGGUGCGAAAGCGUGGGUAGCAAACAGGAUUAGAUACCCGAGUAGUC